ACCUACAUACUUGUUCGUC
This 19-nucleotide non-coding RNA is filed under the name Arabidopsis thaliana (thale cress). The record is from RNAcentral. Lineage: Eukaryota; Viridiplantae; Streptophyta; Magnoliopsida; Brassicales; Brassicaceae.